CCUACGGGGGGCAGCAGUAGGGAAUCUUCCACAAUGGGCGAAAGCCUGAUGGAGCAACGCCGCGUGGGUGAAGAAGGUCUUCGGAUCGUAAAACCCUGUUGUUAGAGAAGAAAGUGCGUGAGAGUAACUGUUCACGUGUCGACGGUAUCUAACCAGAAAGCCACGGCUAACUACGUGCCAGCAGCCGCGGUAAUACGUAGGUGGCAAGCGUUAUCCGGAUUUAUUGGGCGUAAAGGGAACGCAGGCGGUCUUUUAAGUCUGAUGUGAAAGCCGUCGGCUUAACCGGAGUAGUGCAUUGGAAACUGGGAGACUUGAGUGCAGGAGAGGGGAGUGGAACUCCAUGUGUAGCGGUGAAAUGCGUAGAUAUAUGGAAGAACACCAGUGGCGAAGGCGGCUCUCUGGUCUGUAACUGACGCUGAGGUUCGAAAGCGUGGGUAGCAAACAGGAUUAGAUACCCUUGUAGUC
Molecule: ribosomal RNA, 465 nt
Filed under: uncultured bacterium
Lineage: Bacteria
Description: partial 16S ribosomal RNA
Rfam family: Bacterial small subunit ribosomal RNA
Source: RNAcentral